AGUCUGACGGAGCAACGCCGCGUGAGUGAUGAAGGUUUUCGGAUCGUAAAACUCUGUUGUUAGGGAAGAACAAGUAUCGGAGUAACUGCCGGUACCUUGACGGUACCUAACCAGAAAGCCACGGCUAACUACGUGCCAGCAGCCGCGGUAAUACGUAGGUGGCAAGCGUUGUCCGGAAUUAUUGGGCGUAAAGCGCGCGCAGGUGGUCUCUUAAGUCUGAUGUGAAAGCCCCCGGCUCAACCGGGGAGGGUCAUUGGAAACUGGGAGACUUGAGUGCAGGAGAGAAGAGUGGAAUUCCACGUGUAGCGGUGAAAUGCGUAGAGAUGUGGAGGAACACCAGUGGCGAAGGCGACUCUUUGGCCUGUAACUGACACUGAGGCGCGAAAGCGUGGGGAGCAAACAGGAUUAGAUACCCUGGUAGUCCACGCCGUAAACGAUGAGUGCUAAGUGUUAGAGGGUUUCCGCCCUUUAGUGCUGCAGCAAACGCAUUAAGCACUCCGCCUGG
Molecule: ribosomal RNA, 505 nt
Filed under: uncultured Bacillus sp.
Lineage: Bacteria; Bacillati; Bacillota; Bacilli; Caryophanales; Bacillaceae
Description: bacterial SSU rRNA
Rfam family: Bacterial small subunit ribosomal RNA
Source: RNAcentral